AUACAGAGGGUGCGAGCGUUAAUCAGAUUUACUGGGCGUAAAGCGCGCGUAGGUGGCUAAUUAAGUCAAAUGUGAAAUCCCCGAGCUUAACUUGGGAAUUGCAUUCGAUACUGGUUGGCUAGAGUAUGGGAGAGGAUGGUAGAAUUCCAGGUGUAGCGGUGAAAUGCGUAGAGAUCUGGAGGAAUACCGAUGGCGAAGGCAGCCAUCUGGCCUAAUACUGACACUGAGGUGCGAAAGCAUGGGGAGCAAACAGGAUUAGAUACCCUGGUAGUCCAUGCCGUAAACGAUGUCUACUAGCCGUUGGGGGAUUUGAUCCUUUAGUGGCGCAGCUAACGCGAUAAGUAGACCGCCUGGGGAGUACGGUCGCAAGACUAAAACUCAAAUGAAUUGACGGGG
RNAcentral lists this ribosomal RNA (396 nucleotides) under uncultured bacterium. RNAcentral's name for it is "partial 16S ribosomal RNA". It matches the Rfam family "Bacterial small subunit ribosomal RNA", at positions 523 to 918 of the family's 1533-position model. The record is from RNAcentral.